This is a long non-coding RNA of Scleropages formosus (Asian bonytongue), 297 nucleotides long. RefSeq lists it as uncharacterized. NCBI's taxonomy places the organism in Eukaryota, Metazoa, Chordata, Actinopteri, Osteoglossiformes, Osteoglossidae. The record is from RefSeq and is a predicted model, not a curated record. The transcript has 3 exons.
CACAGACGAGCAGAAUCUCCAUCAUCUUCGUCGGGAAGCACUCUGAAAUGCACUGCGAUCUUCCGUUCUCUUGUCUGGUUGGCGAUGGCCAAAGGGAAAAAAUGCGAGGCACAACACAGCAGGUUUGUUACGGAAGAUGUAAAGCCGUAUUGGACAACGCCAGGGGCAAAGAGCUGACACUGCAGCAAACCAUGGAGUACAUUCCAGCACGAGAGGGAGAACACGAACCCCGGCCCUUGAAAUAAUCAGCACCGCAGGCGUGCACAGUGCCGUCUCAGUCGAACCCCGGCUGCAGGA